This 467-nucleotide ribosomal RNA is filed under the name uncultured bacterium. Its description in RNAcentral is "partial 16S ribosomal RNA". It matches the Rfam family "Bacterial small subunit ribosomal RNA", at positions 28 to 506 of the family's 1533-position model. The record is from RNAcentral.
GACGAACGCUGGCGGCGUGCUUAACACAUGCAAGUCGAACGGAAAGGCCCUGCUUUUGUGGGGUGCUCGAGUGGCGAACGGGUGAGUAACACGUGAGUAACCUGCCCUUGACUUUGGGAUAACUUCAGGAAACUGGGGCUAAUACCGGAUAGGAGCUCCUGCUGCAUGGUGGGGGUUGGAAAGUUUCGGCGGUUGGGGAUGGACUCGCGGCUUAUCAGCUUGUUGGUGGGGUAGUGGCUUACCAAGGCUUUGACGGGUAGCCGGCCUGAGAGGGUGACCGGCCACAUUGGGACGGAGAUACGGCCCAGACUCCGACGGGAGGCAGCAGUGGGGAAUAUUGCACAAUGGGCGGAAGCGUGAUGCAGCAACGCCGCGUGCGGGAUGACGGCCUUCGGGUGGUAAACCGCUUUCGCCUGUGACGAAGCGUGAGUGACGGUAAUGGGUAAAGAAGCACCGGCUAACUACGU